CGCGUAGGCGGUUUGGUAAGUCAGAUGUGAAAUUCACCGGCUUAACCGGUCGAACUGCAUCCGAUACUGCCAGACUUGAGAUCAGUAGAGGAGAGUGGAAUUCCCAGUGUAGCGGUGGAAUGCGUAGAUAUUGGGAAGAACACCGGUGGCGAAGGCGGCUCUCUGGACUGAUUCUGACGCUGAGGCGCGAAAGCUAGGGGAGCGAACA
This 208-nucleotide ribosomal RNA is filed under the name uncultured bacterium. RNAcentral describes it as "partial 16S ribosomal RNA". It matches the Rfam family "Bacterial small subunit ribosomal RNA", at positions 568 to 774 of the family's 1533-position model. The record is from RNAcentral.